This 253-nucleotide ribosomal RNA is filed under the name uncultured bacterium. Its description in RNAcentral is "partial 16S ribosomal RNA". It matches the Rfam family "Bacterial small subunit ribosomal RNA", at positions 524 to 776 of the family's 1533-position model. The record is from RNAcentral.
UACGUAGGGUGCAAGCGUUGCUCGGAUUUAUUGGGCGUAAAGGGUGUGUAGGCGGUUUGAUAAGUUAGAUGUGAAAGCCCCGGGCUUAACCCGGGAAUUGCAUUUAAGACUGUUGAACUUGAAGAUUGGAGAGGUUAGCAGAAUUCCCAGUGUAGAGGUGAAAUUCGUAGAUAUUGGGAAGAAUACCAAUGGCGUAGGUAGCUAACUAGCCAAAUCUUGACGCUGAGGCACGAAAGCGUGGGGAGCAAACAGG